UGUAGAGGUAGAGAAAAUCCCCAAGAAU
Molecule: non-coding RNA, 28 nt
Filed under: Rattus norvegicus (Norway rat)
Lineage: Eukaryota; Metazoa; Chordata; Mammalia; Rodentia; Muridae
Source: RNAcentral